CCUACGGGUGGCUGCAGUGAGGAAUAUUGGUCAAUGGGCGCUAGCCUGAACCAGCCAAGUAGCGUGAAGGCUGACUGCCCUAUGGGUUGUACACUUCUUUUAUAUGGGAAUAAAGUGCAGUAUGUAUACUGCUUUGCAUGUACCUUAUGACUAAGGAUCGGCUAACUCCGUGCCAGCCGACGCGGUAAUACGGAGGAUCCGAGCCUUCUCCGGCUUUCUUUCGCUUCAAGGGAGCGUAGGCGGGUUGUUAAGUCAGUUGUGAACGUUUGCGGCUCAACCGUAAAAUUGCAGUUGAUACUGGCAUCCUUGAGUACAGUAGAGGUAGGCGGAAUGUGUAGUGUAGCGGUGAAAUGCAUAGAUAUUACACAGAACACCGAUUGCGAAGGCAGCUUGCUAGGCCGGAUCUGACACUGAUGCACGAAAGCGUGGGGAUCGAACAGGAUUAGAUACCCGAGUAGUC
This 460-nucleotide ribosomal RNA is filed under the name uncultured bacterium. RNAcentral describes it as "partial 16S ribosomal RNA". It matches the Rfam family "Bacterial small subunit ribosomal RNA", at positions 338 to 795 of the family's 1533-position model. The record is from RNAcentral.